GGAGAGAGGCAAUGGACGCACCCCUCGCCAACCGGGUCAGGUUCGGAAGAAAGCAGCCCUGACGAGUUUGCCGGUGCGGGUUGUUGCUCUCUCUC
RNAcentral lists this signal recognition particle RNA (95 nucleotides) under Candidatus Tokpelaia sp. RNAcentral's name for it is "Bacterial small signal recognition particle RNA". It matches the Rfam family "Bacterial small signal recognition particle RNA". From Rfam's summary of the family: The signal recognition particle (SRP) is a universally conserved ribonucleoprotein involved in the co-translational targeting of proteins to membranes. Archaeal SRP consists of a 7S RNA and homologues of the eukaryotic SRP19 and SRP54 proteins. Lineage: Bacteria; Pseudomonadati; Pseudomonadota; Alphaproteobacteria; Hyphomicrobiales. The record is from Rfam by way of RNAcentral.